AACGAACGCUGGCGGCAUGCCUAACACAUGCAAGUCGAACGAGACCUUCGGGUCUAGUGGCGCACGGGUGCGUAACGCGUGGGAACCUGCCCUUAGGUUCGGAAUAACUCCCCGAAAGGGGUGAUAAUACCGGAUAACGUCUUCGGACCAAAGAUUUAUCGCCUUUGGAUGGGCCCGCGUUGUAUUAGCUAGUUGGUAGGGUAAAAGCCUACCAAGGCGACGAUCCAUAGCUGGUCUGAGAGGAUGAUCAGCCACACUGGGACUGAGACACGGCCCAGACUCCUACGGGAGGCAGCAGUGGGGAAUAUUGGACAAUGGGCGAAAGCCUGAUCCAGCAAUGCCGCGUGAGUGAUGAAGGCCUUAGGGUUGUAAAGCUCUUUUACCCGGGAUGAUAAUGACAGUACCGGGAGAAUAAGCUCCGGCUAACUCCGUG
Molecule: ribosomal RNA, 433 nt
Filed under: uncultured bacterium
Lineage: Bacteria
Description: partial 16S ribosomal RNA
Rfam family: Bacterial small subunit ribosomal RNA
Source: RNAcentral